AGACUGAACGCUGGCGGCAGGCCUAACACAUGCAAGUCGAGCGGCAGCACGGGUACUUGUACCUGGUGGCGAGCGACGGACGGGUGAGUAAUGCCUAGGAAUCUGCCUGGUAGUGGGGGAUAACGCUCGGAAACGGACGCUAAUACCGCAUACGUCCUACGGGAGAAAGCAGGGGACCUUCGGGCCUUGCGCUAUCAGAUGAGCCUAGGUCGGAUUAGCUAGUUGGUGGGGUAAUGGCUCACCAAGGCGACGAUCCGUAACUGGUCUGAGAGGAUGAUCAGUCACACUGGAACUGAGACACGGUCCAGACUCCUACGGGAGGCAGCAGUGGGGAAUAUUGGACAAUGGGCGAAAGCCUGAUCCAGCCAUGCCGCGUGUGUGAAGAAGGUCUUCGGAUUGUAAAGCACUUUAAGUUGGAGGAAGGCAGUUACCUAAUACGUAUCUGUUUUGACGUUACCGACAGAAUAAGCACCGGCUAACUCUGUG
RNAcentral lists this ribosomal RNA (486 nucleotides) under uncultured soil bacterium. RNAcentral describes it as "bacterial SSU rRNA". It matches the Rfam family "Bacterial small subunit ribosomal RNA", at positions 26 to 507 of the family's 1533-position model. The record is from RNAcentral.